RNAcentral lists this ribosomal RNA (241 nucleotides) under uncultured Staphylococcus sp. Its description in RNAcentral is "partial 16S ribosomal RNA". It matches the Rfam family "Bacterial small subunit ribosomal RNA", at positions 100 to 334 of the family's 1533-position model. Lineage: Bacteria; Bacillati; Bacillota; Bacilli; Caryophanales; Staphylococcaceae. The record is from RNAcentral.
GGGACGGGUGAGUAACACGUGGAUAACCUACCUAUAAGACUGGGAUAACUUCGGGAAACCGGAGCUAAUACCGGAUAAUAUUUUGAACCGCAUGAUUCAAAAGUGAAAGACGGUCUUGCUGUCACUUAUAGAUGGACCCGCGCCGUAUUAGCUAGUUGGUGAGGUGACGGCUCACCAAGGCAACGAUACGUAGCCGACCUGAGAGGGUGAUCGGCCACACUGGAACUGAGACACGGUCCAG